GUUAUUAGUUGCCAGCAUUUAGUUGGGCACUCUAAUGAGACUGCCGGUGAUAAACCGGAGGAAGGUGGGGACGACGUCAGAUCAUCAUGCCCCUUAUGACCUGGGCAACACACGUGCUACAAUGGGAAGUACAACGAGUCGCAAACCGGCGACGGUAAGCUAAUCUCUUAAAACUUCUCUCAGUUCGGACUGGAGUCUGCAACUCGACUCCACGAAGGCGGAAUCGCUAGUAAUCGCGAAUCAGCAUGUCGCGGUGAAUACGUUCCCGGGUCUUGUACACACCGCCCGUCAAAUCAUGGGAGUCGGAAGUACCCAAAGUCGCUUGGCUAACUUUUAGAGGCCGGUGCCUAAGGUAAAAUCGAUGACUGGGAUUAAGUCGUAACAAGGUAGCCGUAGGAGAACCUGCGGCUGGAUCACCUCCUUUCUAAGGA
This 431-nucleotide ribosomal RNA is filed under the name Oenococcus oeni. RNAcentral describes it as "bacterial SSU rRNA". It matches the Rfam family "Bacterial small subunit ribosomal RNA", at positions 1107 to 1533 of the family's 1533-position model. Lineage: Bacteria; Bacillati; Bacillota; Bacilli; Lactobacillales; Lactobacillaceae. The record is from RNAcentral.